GUCGGUGAACCUGCGGAAGGAUCAUUAACACGUAUCCAACGUUAAACCCCUGUGAACCUGAAGACGCCGCUCCUAGGGCUCGUGCGAAAACUUGCAAUUCCCUGUACUCGUCCGAGAUGUAAGGAGGGACUUCUGGCAGUGCACGCUAGUCAGAGCGCUUGGAGUUAGUGUGGCUUGUUUUUCCCCAAGCAGCCAGUGAGUGAAAGUGUCUGAUUGUGUAAGGAUUUCACCUACAGCGAUCACGGUAGGUCGAUCACCGACCGGUGAAUAAGCAACAGAAGCUUUAAUGCUUCCCUCUUCCUAUUGCCGCCCGCUAACAAUGCCGGGUAUUUAAAAACGUACUAAACAACUGUUAACAAUGGAUAUCUUGGUUCUC
This 376-nucleotide unclassified non-coding RNA is filed under the name rhizosphere metagenome. RNAcentral's name for it is "partial ribosomal RNA internal transcribed spacer region". The record is from RNAcentral.